Molecule: long non-coding RNA, 512 nt
Filed under: Canis lupus familiaris (dog)
Lineage: Eukaryota; Metazoa; Chordata; Mammalia; Carnivora; Canidae
Description: lncRNA (ENSCAFG00845005815.1)
Source: RNAcentral
AAAAUCAGUGUAUGUGUGUUUUGUUUAUACAUACCUAUGCAUACGCAAAAACAUAUAGAUUUAUCCUAUAUGCAAUUCUGGGAAGCCUGUUAUAUUAUUUGUUAUUCUGCUUUUAACAGCAAUGGACACUUUUUGAGAGCCAAAUGCUGAGGGUAAAUUGCAAAAAAGACUCAACUCUGCUAUUCAAAUGGACUACAGUUUAAUAAGAAGAGACUGCCAGUGGCAAAAGAGUAUAAUAUGUGCUACGGAUCUCUCAGCGGUUAAAGCUCAGAUGGAACCCCCUUAUGAAAUAUCCACAAGAUGCUGCUGAGGUGCUCAAGAACUUGUCUGCAGUCCUUGCCUAAGCAGGUUUUCCAACCAAACAAAAACAUCUGCAUGCUGACUUCGAACUUAGUAAAGUCUCAUGUAGGCAGUACGCCAAUUCCUAAAUAGCUAAGAAGAUGAGCAAAGCUUACAGAAGACAGAGUUAUAGAGAGACAAAAACUGAAAUACAGAUCCUAGGAAGAAAGAUG